This 69-nucleotide transfer RNA is filed under the name Amazonina sp. Z256E. RNAcentral describes it as "tRNA-Tyr". The record is from RNAcentral. Lineage: Eukaryota; Metazoa; Arthropoda; Insecta; Blattodea; Pseudophyllodromiidae.
AGUAGAAUGACUGAGAAAAUAGGUAAUAGAUUGUAAAUCUAUUUAGGAGUUAUAAAGACUCUUCUACUA